AAAUGAGUAGGACGAUGAACUGUUUCUGCUGGUAUAUUGUUGGUCAGAAGAGAUUGACUACUUUUCUUCUCCCUUCAAGGGUUCUAUUCUUUCUUAAUAUCUUUUAUUUGUAUCUUGUUUUUUUCUUCUUUAUUUUGGUUCUUUCCUUGUAUGAAAGUAGAUAGGGAGUAAAUUGUUGUGGACUUAAUGGUCAUGUAACUAAACUGGAAGCAAUCAGGGGCGGGGGUUUGUGUACAGAAG
Molecule: unclassified non-coding RNA, 240 nt
Filed under: Hevea brasiliensis (rubber tree)
Lineage: Eukaryota; Viridiplantae; Streptophyta; Magnoliopsida; Malpighiales; Euphorbiaceae
Source: RNAcentral